Molecule: long non-coding RNA, 1860 nt
Organism: Thunnus maccoyii (southern bluefin tuna)
Lineage: Eukaryota; Metazoa; Chordata; Actinopteri; Scombriformes; Scombridae
Exons: 3
Source: RefSeq, a predicted model, not a curated record
UUCUGUCAAUAUUGUAAAUAAAAUACUUUUUUCCCCAUCUUCUCUGUUCCAGUAUAACCUUUCCAUUGUUACAAGUGUGGUGUUUGAAUUCCAGGCAUGGCCAUUGCCUUCUGGACUGAUGAGGCCAGAAGCUUGCUCCAGGGAACCCUUCAGCCAGUAUAAAGAGUGCCAAGACAGAAUGCCAUCACUGAGGAAGUUCCAGUCCAUGUGCGGGCUGUCAUUGACCGCACUGCAGAGGAAAAGAGACUGAUGGACUUUAUUGUACAGUCACAGGAAAGUAAGCAGCAUUUGGCAGUACUUUGAGAAUGUUCACAUUUUUUCAUCAUUACAGACUAGUUCACAGAAAAGAUUCACCCAGGGCCUUUGUUAGGAAUAUCAUCAACCGACAUAUUAUUUAGCUUCGUGGCUGAUUUAUUGUAUCUUUAUUUGUAAUGUAUAUAUGUAUUUAAUGACUGACAUUUAAUGUUAGUUGUUCAAUGACUAACAACUACCACACAGUAUACUCAAAAAUCCAAUUUCCACAAAAUAAUUGUUUCUUUACCUUGGUUUGCCUAUAGGGUGUACUCAAUGGGAAGCCUUCUUAGUGAUUUCAUUAGAAGUUCUCUUCCCAGGUACAUGUCUACCUCGACAGUGAGGAACAACAGGACCCUUUUCGCCUAUCUGAAGGCAGUACUGCAUAAAACACCAACACAACUGAGCCUCAUGGAUGAAGUGCAGUUCAUCCUUGGUGUUCUAUUUCCGGAGGAGAGGAGCAAAAUAUAUGCCACCCCCAACAACCAUGUCCCUAUUAUACAGAUCUAUUUAGAUCUGUCCAAAGAAAUGAACUUUGACUACCGCCUAUAAAGGGCAUCUAUUGAUGCAUUGAUGGCCCUUCUCAAAAGGGAGAAGACCCAUGGCUGGGGGAAAUAUAUGGAGGUCCUCCUGGUGGUCUACUGGCUGGCACAUGAGCUGUUUUACAGUGUUGUCUCGCGGGUCUUCGAUGUGCAAAGACAACAGUGUUUAACAUUGUCCAUCAGAUGUGUGACACAAUCCUGAUGCUCCUGAGCAAUGCAGUCCAUUUCCCCACACUGGCACAGUGUCCUGAAGUUGGCCAGGGCUUCUAACACCUUGCCAACAACCCACCCAUCAGACACUGUGUGGGAGCCAUUGAUGGAUGUCACAUCCGUAUCAACGCUCCCCAUGGUCCACAGCCAGAAGAUUACCUGACUGGGAAACUUCCACUCUGUCCAGCUUCAGGCAAUCUGUGACAGCACUGGCAAAUUCUUGGACAUAGUUGUUGGCUACCCUGGUUCAGUCCAUGACACCAUGGUGCUAAGAAAUAGUCCAGUGUUUGUCAGGGGCUGUUUCCCACCAGCUGGGUAUUUCAUUGUGGGGGAUACCCAUGCCUUACUGCACCAAUCGCCCUCAUUACACCAUAUCGUGAGCUGGUGAAGGGAAGAGUGGAGGCGCGCUUCAAUGCUCACCAUGCAAUAGCCCAGAACAUUAUAGAGAGGGCAUUUGGCAUGAUGAAGGCACGGUGGCGAGGGAUCUUCUUCAAAGCCCUGGAAGUGGAUCACACUUUCGCUCCAAAAGUCAUUGCAGUGUGUGCAGUGCUCCAUAAUGUCUGCAUCACUGUUGGGGACAUCCUGGAGCCAGCUGAGGAUGAGGAUCCUGUGUCACUACCACCAUCUGUGCAAAGGGAUGAAUGUGGAAGUCAGCACUACAAGGACAGACUGGCAGUGUCUGCCCCUUACCAGUGUCCCUCACCUCUGCAAGAACAUGACUAUUUCAUUUUGUGAAUAAAUGUCUUUUUUUGUGAAAUUUUGUUUUCAGUUAAUAAUUCAAGAACUUUUCUUGAACAUUUUGGUUUGCACAUUAAUA